GCUUGAUUCAACAGGCUAUAUAAUAAAAUUGGAAUGAUAUAGAGAAGAUUAGCAUUACCCUUACACAAGAAUGAUAGAAAUUUCAUGAAACAUUUCCUUUUUAA
Molecule: small nuclear RNA, 104 nt
Organism: Sarcophilus harrisii (Tasmanian devil)
Lineage: Eukaryota; Metazoa; Chordata; Mammalia; Dasyuromorphia; Dasyuridae
Source: Ensembl